UACAGAGGGUGCAAGCGUUGUUCGGAAUUACUGGGCGUAAAGGGCGCGUAGGCGGCCUGCUAAGUCGCACGUGAAAUCCCUGGGCUCAACCCAGGAACUGCGUCCGAUACUGGUUGGCUUGAAUUCGGGAGAGGGAUGUGGAAUUCCAGGUGUAGCGGUGAAAUGCGUAGAUAUCUGGAGGAACACCGGUGGCGAAGGCGGCAUCCUGGACCGAUAUUGACGCUGAGACGCGAAAGCGUGGGGAGCAAACAGG
This 253-nucleotide ribosomal RNA is filed under the name uncultured bacterium. RNAcentral's name for it is "partial 16S ribosomal RNA". It matches the Rfam family "Bacterial small subunit ribosomal RNA", at positions 524 to 776 of the family's 1533-position model. The record is from RNAcentral.